AUGUUUCCCUCUCAGUCACUAGCUGCUAGAAACGCACUGAAAUGGACAGUGAACACAAACAUCAUACCUUUUAUGAGAAGCGUAUGGCCAUAGAAGUUGCUGUUAAUGCUGACUGCAGAGUGAAAAGCUUAUGUCAUCUGAAUCAGUGAUGGGAACUGCAAACAAAGUUUCCCCAUGAAGCAGAAUGUCUUGACCCAUGGCUGUGUUUGCUGCUACUAAGUAAGGAGUGUUCCUAUCACAUGGCAAGGUGAACUGGAGAAAGUACAAAUAUAUUUGAGGUUGCAUUGUGGAUGUCAAUUUGAGUGCUCUUAAUUUGGUUAUUGUGAAAAAAAAAAAAAAAGUCGGGAGAGAGAAGGAUAUUCUUGGACUGACUGAUAAUACUAUGCCUCAUCACCUAGGGCCCAAAAGAGCUAGCAGAAUCUGAUAAGUUUUCAAAUAUCUGUAAAAAGAUGAUACCUACCAUAGGUUGUGAGAAAGUCCCUAAACAAAGAAGGUAAGGAACUCAGGACCAGACUGCCCAGGAUUCAGCAUCCUGUUAUUCCAUGUGUCCUGCAUCACAAAACAUCCACAUAUUGCUCUGAAGACACAGCUUGCUAAGAAAAAUAAGUAAGAGGCUGCAGAAUAUGCUAAACUUUUGACCAAGAGAAUGGGAAACCAAAGAGAAAUGCCAGGAACAGGUCCCUGAGAAGCAGAGGCUGUUCUCUCUGAGAGCUUCUACCCUGACCUUGAAUCCAGUAAAAAAUAA
RNAcentral lists this long non-coding RNA (745 nucleotides) under Homo sapiens (human). RNAcentral describes it as "non-protein coding lnc-G2E3-8:1". Lineage: Eukaryota; Metazoa; Chordata; Mammalia; Primates; Hominidae. The record is from RNAcentral.